Long non-coding RNA from Hippoglossus stenolepis (Pacific halibut), 1083 nucleotides. RefSeq lists it as uncharacterized. The transcript has 2 exons. NCBI's taxonomy places the organism in Eukaryota, Metazoa, Chordata, Actinopteri, Pleuronectiformes, Pleuronectidae. The record is from RefSeq and is a predicted model, not a curated record.
CACAUGUUCUGAUUAGGUUGCUGAGUGGUUUGUUAUGGCUGCGCCUGUCGGUUAGUGUUGUUUCAUGUGCACAUGCGUCUUUUUGCGUCUGCGUUUGUUCAGCGUGCAUUUGUUUGUCGUGAUGAGUGGAUUUGGAGGUGAGAUGAGUCCCUGAAGAGAGAAGCAAAGCGGGUGCCAGGGGGCUCCAGCUGAUUACAGAUGAAAUGGAUCUGAUUUUGACCUUGACUGCGAGCCAAACACCUGCUCAGACCUGAGGUAGCCGUAGAAGAGGAGAGGGCGAGAUGAAACCGGAGAGACUGACGUCCAGUUAAUGAGAUGGCGAGAUCAUCUGUGCUUUGGGAUUUGUAGUGGUGGACUCGCGCCUGAUGGAAGCGGAUCAAGAUUAAACAUUUGGGGGGUGGAUGUGAUAUGGAGUUACAGUAUUUCACAACUAAUCUGAGACAAAAGCUUCAUCGAUACCAGAGACUCGAUUUGAUGGGUAUGAAGAUAUUUGAUGCAGCUACCAGGAACAGUCUGGACAUAAUCCAAGGAUAAAAUGAUGACCUAAUAAUUUCAACAAGUCUGUGAUCAGAUAUUAAAGCAGCACCAACAAAAAUGUAUUUUAACAAUGGUUUCAGAUGACUGCAUGUAAUUUGAAAGGGCUGGCUCGUAGCGAGAAACACGUUAUCUUGCCUUCAGCUAUGCAGCGUUUUAUCAUCUUUCUGCAAAUGUUUUAAUUUGACAGUGUGUAACUUGAAUGCUUUGGUUCACUGUCUCUGCUCUCAAGCUCCUUUAUAAAUGUCCUUAAUUAUUGUUCCAUCUAAAUGUCAGUUAUUAUUAUGUAUUUGUCACAGAAUUACCAUUUAAAGAUCACAGACAUCUGGACUGGACUUUGGGCUGAUUGGUCGGUUGAACAUCUGCUUCCUUGUUACUGGUUAUAUGUGGUUAUUCUCUGUCAUUACAUGGCAUACACAUGCCAUUCAAAGACAUUCAGGUCUAUGAGAGUUUAUCAGUCAAUAGCUGCUUGAUCCUUUAACCUGAUUGAAGAUACCAGUGUAUUCAUUUAUGUGACAUUAAAGAAAUGUGCCUACUGCAGAAAGUCAA